GCACAAGCGGAGGAACAUGUGGUUAAUUCGAUGAUACGCGAGGAACCUUACCUGGCUUAAAUGUAGAGUGCAUUUUUUAGAGAUAGAAAUUCCCUUCGGGGCUUUCUGCAAGGUGCUGCAUGGUUGUCGUCAGCUCGUGCCGUGAGGUGUCGGGUUAAGUCCCAUAACGAGCGCAACCCUUAUCGUUAGUUGCCAUCUGGUAAUGCAGGGGACUCUAGCGAAACUGCCACCGUAAGGUGAGAGGAAGUGGGAUGACGUCAAAUCAGCACGGCCCUUAUGUCCAGGGCUACACACGUGUUACAAUGGUCGGUACAGAGGGCAGCUACCUGGUGACAGGAUGCUAAUCUCGAAAACCGGUCUCAGUUCGGAUCGAAGUCUGCAACUCGACUUCGUGAAGCUGGAUUCGCUAGUAAUCGCGCAUCAGCUAUGGCGCGGUGAAUACGUUCCCGGGCCUU
Molecule: ribosomal RNA, 455 nt
Filed under: uncultured Sphingobacteriales bacterium
Lineage: Bacteria; Pseudomonadati; Bacteroidota; Sphingobacteriia; Sphingobacteriales
Description: bacterial SSU rRNA
Rfam family: Bacterial small subunit ribosomal RNA
Source: RNAcentral